GAUGAACGCUGGCGGCGUGCCUAAUACAUGCAAGUCGAGCGAACGGACGAGAAGCUUGCUUCUCUGAUGUUAGCGGCGGACGGGUGAGUAACACGUGGAUAACCUACCUAUAAGACUGGGAUAACUUCGGGAAACCGGAGCUAAUACCGGAUAAUAUUUUGAACCGCAUGGUUCAAAAGUGAAAGACGGUCUUGCUGUCACUUAUAGAUGGAUCCGCGCUGCAUUAGCUAGUUGGUAAGGUAACGGCUUACCAAGGCAACGAUGCAUAGCCGACCUGAGAGGGUGAUCGGCCACACUGGAACUGAGACACGGUCCAGACUCCUACGGGAGGCAGCAGUAGGGAAUCUUCCGCAAUGGGCGAAAGCCUGACGGAGCAACGCCGCGUGAGUGAUGAAGGUCUUCGGAUCGUAAAACUCUGUUAUUAGGGAAGAACAUAUGUGUAAGUAACUGUGCACAUCUUGACGGUACCUAAUCAGAAAGCCACGGCUAACUAUGUGCCAGCAGCCGCGGUAAUACGUAGGUGGCAAGCGUUAUCCGGAAUUAUUGGGCGUAAAGCGCGCGUAGGCGGUUUUUUAAGUCUGAUGUGAAAGCCCACGGCUCAACCGUGGAGGGUCAUUGGAAACUGGAAAACUUGAGUGCAGAAGAGGAAAGUGGAAUUCCAUGUGUAGCGGUGAAAUGCGCAGAGAUAUGGAGGAACACCAGUGGCGAAGGCGACUUUCUGGUCUGUAACUGACGCUGAUGUGCGAAAGCGUGGGGAUCAAACAGGAUUAGAUACCCUGGUAGUCCACGCCGUAAACGAUGAGUGCUAAGUGUUAGGGGGUUUCCGCCCCUUAGUGCUGCAGCUAACGCAUUAAGCACUCCGCCUGGGGAGUACGACCGCAAGGUUGAAACUCAAAGGAAUUGACGGGGACCCGCACAAGCGGUGGAGCAUGUGGUUUAAUUCGAAGCAACGCGAAGAACCUUACCAAAUCUUGACAUCCUUUGACAACUCUAGAGAUAGAGCCUUCCCCUUCGGGGGGCAAAGUGACAGGUGGUGCAUGGUUGUCGUCAGCUCGUGUCGUGAGAUGUUGGGUUAAGUCCCGCAACGAGCGCAACCCUUAAGCUUAGUUGCCAUCAUUAAGUUGGGCACUCUAAGUUGACUGCCGGUGACAAACCGGAGGAAGGUGGGGAUGACGUCAAAUCAUCAUGCCCCUUAUGAUUUGGGCUACACACGUGCUACAAUGGACAAUACAAAGGGCAGCGAAACCGCGAGGUCAAGCAAAUCCCAUAAAGUUGUUCUCAGUUCGGAUUGUAGUCUGCAACUCGACUACAUGAAGCUGGAAUCGCUAGUAAUCGUGGAUCAGCAUGCUACGGUGAAUACGUUCCCGGGUCU
RNAcentral lists this ribosomal RNA (1372 nucleotides) under uncultured bacterium. RNAcentral's name for it is "bacterial SSU rRNA". It matches the Rfam family "Bacterial small subunit ribosomal RNA", at positions 28 to 1381 of the family's 1533-position model. The record is from RNAcentral.